Long non-coding RNA from Cercocebus atys (sooty mangabey), 1900 nucleotides. The record is from Ensembl. Lineage: Eukaryota; Metazoa; Chordata; Mammalia; Primates; Cercopithecidae.
GGUGGGGGGAGGGAGGGGCUGGUCUCCAGAUGCCUGGAAGAGAGGCCUUGAAAGUCAUUCUUCUUGGAUGCAGAGGCCCAUGGCAUUUCUUGGUAGAAGGUCAAAGAGAAGUGUUCAUGCUUGGCAAGGCAGGAGGGUGGGAGAUAGGGCAGCGGGUGGGGAAGCAGAGUCUGGCUCACUGUGUGCCAGGAAAAGGAGGUAAAGGCCGGGCAGGAACCCCUGGCUCCUGACCAGGAAUGGCCAUGGUAAGAGUCCUGCAAAACCGAAAUCAGAUCUUACACCGGCAGCACACAGGGACACAGCAGCUGGACUGGGAGCAGCAGCGCUUGCAGCAGCUGGACUGGCAGCAGGAUGACCCACAGCCUCCCUUAGAACCCCCACAAGAACCACAGCUGGAGCAGGAAUAGGCUGGGACACAACAACACACAGGCUUGCAGCAGCAGACAGGCACACAACAGCUGGAGCCACAGCCCCCACAGCCGGAGCCACAGCCCCCACAGCCGGAGCCGCAGCCUCCAGAGCAGCCACAACAGCCCAUGGUUCUGGUGGACUGAGGGUGGAGCAGGCAGAGGAGCAGAUGGAGACAACAGGAAGGAAGGAAGGAGGCCUUCCUGGUUACAGGUGGCCACAGGAGAAUAGGCAGCGGCCCAGGACGAUCCAGGGUCCCAGUGGUGGUUGAGAAGCUGGUUUUUAGUGAUCACUCAGGAACAUCGACCUGGCCUUGUGGGGUCAGACUUUGCAUCUCAGUCAUCCCAGGGAGAAGAAGAAGAUGGUCCACACCCAAGUGCAGGGAACGCCGUGGCAGUCGGCCGGGCACCCGCUUCCAGGCAAGGACACCUUCUGCAUCAAGGAAACACGUGUUUCCAGAGUGAGGAGGCUGAAGGCAGGGCCCAGAGGAGAGCCGAGCUAUGGAAGGAGGAGAAACCUGAAGAUCUGGGUCCAGAGCCUCAGAUCUUGCACUGGCAGCACACGGGGACACAGCAGGUGGACUGGCAGCAGCAGGGUUUGCAGCAGCUGGACUGGCAGCAGGAUGACCCACAACCUGAAGAGCAAGAGCAGGGCUUGCAGCAACUGCACUGGGAGCAGCCACAAGAACCACAGCCCCCCUUGGAGCCCCCACAGGAGCCACAGCUGGAGCAGGAACAGGACUGGGUCAAUGUUGCGGAUUUCCCACGUUCAACGCUGUGAGACACCUUCCCCCCUCCAGAGCAGUGCCGCUCUCUACCUGAUUCCUGCUGAUGCCCCCAGGGAUGUGGUAUCUUCUUUGUGGCAACUGUGGCUGAGGAUGGCAGGAUUCUCAGCAUUGGGGAAGGAAUGCAUCCUCUGUUUACCUCCUCCGUAUUCCUGGACGAGUCCCUGUGGGCAGGGCAAUGGGCUUUGUGAUUACAGAAGGGAAGUUCACACAGCAUGGUCCUUGGGGACGUGUGAGAAGAGCUUCCCACUGCUUUGGAACUGUUGUGUGGACAGGUUCUUCUCUUGGAGGAAAACAAAGCUUGGAGCAGAACUUGAGGGGUGGGGGAGGACCGUGAUGGGUACAAAGAGCAACCAAGGGACAGGAAGGAUACUCCAGCCAGGAGGCAGGGCACUAGCGACGGUGUGGAGGCUGCAGGUGCAGGAACCUGUCAGUAUGGUCCACACUCAGAUGCAGCUCAAAUGUGUGAAGAGUGGAUGUGCAGGCUUACAACCUUCCAGUGUGCCUCAGCCGACACGGGGUGAAACCCAAACCCCUGACACUGGCCCAUGCACCUCUCCAGCUGGAUUUGACCACGGCCUUGGCCACCCAUCGUUCCAGAACCAAUCAGCCCAAAGCUCAGUGGAUCAGGAGUUCAGAUCUGGCCCUGGAUGGUGGAACAGGCUGCAUGAUGCGUGGGGUCUCAGCUGGGAAGGUACCAAUGGCUAA